AUAAAAUAAUUAUGUUUUUGAUAAUUUAUUAUAAGUUUAUUUUACAUAUAAAUUUUAGUAUAUAAUUUUAAUUAUUUUAAUAAUAAUUAAUUAUUUUAGUAGUAAUUAAUAUUAAAAAUUUAAGAAAUUAAGAUUUAGUAAUAUAAAAAUUAAUAACUAAUUUUGUGCCAGCAGUUGCGGUUAAACAAAAAUUAAAUUAAAUUAUUUCAGUUUAUAAUUAAUAAAUAAUAAUUAAAAUAAAUAUUAAAUUAUUAGGUGAAAUUUUAAUUUAAUUAAAUUUUAUUUAAGUUUUAUGAUUUAAUAAAUUUUAAUAUAAACUAGGAUUAGAUACCCUAUUAUUAAAAAUUUAAUUUAUAAUACUAAAAUAGUAAAUAAUGAUUUAUUGAAACUUAAAUAAUAUGGCGGUAUUUUAGUUCAUUUAGAGGAAUCUGUCUAAUAAUUGAUAAUCCACGAAUAAAUUUACUUAAUUUAUAAUUUUGUAUAUCAUUGUUAAAAAAAUAUUUUUUAGUAAAAAUAAUAUUUAAAAUUUAUAAAUAUAAAUUAAUUCAGAUCAAGAUGCAGAUUAUAAUUAAGAAUAUGAUGGAUUACAAUAAAUAUAUUUAAAAUGAAUAAUUUUUUGUAAUUAAAAUUUGAAGGUGGAUUUAAAUGUAAUUUUAAUUAGUUUAUUAAAAUGAUUAUAAAUUAAAAUAUGUACAUAUUGCCCGUCACUUUCAUUUAAAAAUUGAAAUAAGUCGUAACAAAGUAGAGGUACUGGAAAGUGUUUCUAGAAAGA
RNAcentral lists this non-coding RNA (772 nucleotides) under Nymphalis io geisha. Lineage: Eukaryota; Metazoa; Arthropoda; Insecta; Lepidoptera; Nymphalidae. The record is from RNAcentral.